This 397-nucleotide ribosomal RNA is filed under the name uncultured bacterium. Its description in RNAcentral is "partial 16S ribosomal RNA". It matches the Rfam family "Bacterial small subunit ribosomal RNA", at positions 523 to 918 of the family's 1533-position model. The record is from RNAcentral.
AUACGUAGGGGGCGAGCGUUGUCCGGAAUGAUUGGGCGUAAAGGGCGCGUAGGCGGCCCGGUAAGUCUGGAGUGAAAGUCCUGUUUUUAAGAUGGGAAUUGCUUUGGAUACUGUCGGGCUUGAGUGCAGGAGAGGUAAGUGGAAUUCCCAGUGUAGCGGUGAAAUGCGUAGAGAUUGGGAGGAACACCAGUGGCGAAGGCGACUUACCGGACUGUAACUGACGCUGAGGCGCGAAAGUGUGGGGAGCAAACAGGAUUAGAUACCCUGGUAGUCCACACUGUAAACGAUGAAUGCUAGGUGUAGGGGGUAUCGACCCCUUCUGUGCCGCAGUCAACACAAUAAGCAUUCCGCCUGGGGAGUACGGCCGCAAGGUUGAAACUCAAAUGAAUUGACGGGG